RNAcentral lists this long non-coding RNA (2448 nucleotides) under Apteryx rowi (Okarito brown kiwi). Its description in RNAcentral is "lncRNA (ENSARWG00000008307.1)". Lineage: Eukaryota; Metazoa; Chordata; Aves; Apterygiformes; Apterygidae. The record is from RNAcentral.
GCGUUUUGGAGGUUCCUCACGCUGGGUGCCUUAUUGGGCAUCAGGUAGCCAGGUGGCAUCAAGGACAUCCUUGAUACCUGGCACCCACAUGGCAUUGGGGACAUCCCUGGCACCAGGCACCCUGCUGGGCACCCACGUGGCAUCGGGGGCAUCUCUGGGCACCCAUGUGACAUUGGGGACAUCCCUGGCACCGGGCACCCUGCUGGGCACUGGACACCCAUGUGGCACUGGGGACAUCCCUAGACACUGCGCACCCACAUGACACUGGGGACAUCCCUGGGCACUGGGCACCCAUGUGACACUGGGGACAUCCCUGGCACCAGGCACCCAUGUGGCACUAGGGACAUCCCUGGGCACUGGGCACCCACGUGAUAUUGGGGACAUCCCUGACACUGGACACCCACAUGGCACUGGGGACAUCCCUGGGCACUAGGCACCUACAUGACACUGGGGACAUCCCUGGGCAGUGGGCACCCAUGUGACAUUGGGGACAUCCUUGGCACCAGGCACCCUGCUGGGCACCGGGCACCCAUGUGACACUGGGCACCCACGCGACUUUGGGGACAUCCCUGGCACCAGGCACCCUGCUGGGCACUGGGCACCCAUGUGACACUGGUGACAUCGCUGACACCAGGCACCCACAUGGCACUGGGGACAUCCCUGGGUACUGGGCAUCUUGCUGGGCACCAGGCACCCAUGUGGCAUUGGGGACAUCCAUGGCACCAAACACCCUGCUGGGCCCUGGGCACCCAAGUGACAUUGGGGACAUGCCUGGGCAGCCACGUGACAUUGGAGACAUCCCUGAGCACUGGGCACCCACGUGGCACCGGGGCCACCCCUGACCCCAGGCACCCCACCAGUCACCGAGCACCCACGUGGCACCAGGGCCACCCCUAGCACCGGUACCGAUACAGCGCUGGCCACACCGCUGCCACCGGUCACCCCCGUGGGCACACCGGGGUGGCCCGAGGCACCCGCACCGCCCAGCCUCCGCCGUCCCCCACGUCCCCGUCGGCGUGGCGGGGCCCGGUGACACCCGCUGCCCGCCCGGGACGUGGCACCCGCCGCCGGGGACUCACGCGAGGGUCGCAGAUCUGCGAGCAGUAGCCGUAGAUGGCGCGGGCCCGGUCGAUCUCGCCCAGCUUGCACUCCAUGUCGGCGAAGCGCAGGCACAUCUCCCGGGCGUGCUCGUCGGCCAGCACCUGCGGGUGCCCGCUCAGCACCCAUGGGUGCAGCCCCGGGGCCGCGCGCCCGCCCCGCGCCCAUGCGACGGCCCCCCAAACCUUGGAUGCGCCCCGUACCCACGUGAUGUUCCCCCAAGUCUUGUAUCCAUCUCGGACCCGUGUGAGGUCCCUCAGACCGUGCCCACGUGGCACCCAAGGGACGUGCACCCACCCUGCACCCAUGUGAUGUCACCCCAAGCCUUGCAUCCAUCUGUACCCAUGUGAGGUCCCUCAGACCAUGCUCAUGCAGCACCCAAGGGUCAUGCACCCACCCCGCACCUAUAUGAUGUCACCCCAAAACUUGCACCCACCCCAUACUCACAUGACGUCCCCAAGACCAAGCCCAAUGCGAGGUCCCUCAGACCAGGCCCAUGUGGCACCCAAGGGCCAUGCACCCGCCCUGCACCCACGUGACGUCCCCCAAACCUCGUACCCACCCCAUACCCACGUGACGUCCCCAAGACCGAGCCCACACGGCGCCGCCAGACUGCCCCCCUGCCCGCAGCACCCGAGGGCACCCACCUCGAUGGCCUUCUCGUAGAUGGGCCGGGUGUGGGUGACGCCGUAGAUCUCGGCCGCCCGCUUGAUGUAGAUGUUGAACAUGUCGUACUGCUCGGUGGGCAGCACGGCCCGCGUCGCCCGCUCGUACACGGCCAUGGCGUGGCGCGCCAGCCCAAAGUCCUCCUCCAGCUUGGCGUACAGCAGGUAGAUGGCUGCGGGCACCCAUGGGUGCUCAGCCGGGGGCAUCCGGCUCGGGGGGGGGGGGGGGGGGGGUCUGCCCCGAUGCUUGCCCAAGGCCAAGCCCAGCUGGGGGUCUGCCUCAACGCCCACCCGUGGGUGUCCAGCUGGGGGGCUGCCCCGACGCUUGCCCGGGGCACCCUGCGUGUCACCCGUGGGUGCCAGGCUGGGCAUCUGCCCCAAUGACUGCCCAAGACACCCAGAGGUGCACCCAUAGGUUCUUGGCUGGGCGUCUGCCCCAAUGACUGCCCAAGACACCCAGAGAUGCACCCACGGGUGCCCGGCUGGGGGUCUGCCCCGCUGCUUGCCCAGGGCACCCUGCGUGUCACCCGUGGGUGCUCGGCUGGGUGUCUGUCCCAGUGACCACCCAAGACACCUGGAGAUGCACCCACGGGUACCCAGCUGGGGGUCUGCCCCAAUGCUUGCCCAGGGCACCCUGCAUGUCACCCGUGGGUGCUCAGCUGGGAGUCCGCCCCAAUGACCGCCC